GUCGAGCGAGUGUUUAAGAAGAUUUCUUCGGAUUGAAUCUUAAUAUCUUAGCGGCGGACGGGUGAGUAACACGUGAGAAACCUGCCUUUCACAAAGGGAUAGCCUCGGGAAACUGGGAUUAAUACCUUAUGAUACUUUUUCUUCGCAUGAGGAAAAAGUCAAAGCGUAAAGCGGUGAAAGAUGGUCUCGCGUCCCAUUAGUUAGUUGGUGAGGUAACGGCUCACCAAGACAGCGAUGGGUAGCCGGCCUGAGAGGGUGAACGGCCACACUGGAACUGAGACACGGUCCAGACUCCUACGGGAGGCAGCAGUGGGGAAUAUUGCACAAUGGAGGAAACUCUGAUGCAGCGACGCCGCGUGAACGAUGAAGGCUUUCGAGUCGUAAAGUUCUGUCCUAGGGGACGAUAAUGACGGUACCCUAGGAGGAAGCCCCGGCUAACUACGUGCCAGCAGCCGCGGUAAUACGUAGGGGGCAAGCGUUGUCCGGAUUUAUUGGGCGUAAAGGGUACGCAGGCGGCCUUUUAAGUCAGAUGUGAAAGAUCACGGCUCAACCGUGGUAAGCAUUUGAAACUGGAAGGCUUGAGUUAAGGAGAGGAAAGUGGAAUUCCUAGUGUAGCGGUGAAAUGCGUAGAUAUUAGGAGGAAUACCAGUGGCGAAGGCGACUUUCUGGACUUAUACUGACGCUGAGGUACGAAAGCGUGGGGAGCGAACAGGAUUAGAUACCCUGGUAGUCCACGCCGUAAACGAUGAGUGCUAGGUGUCGGGGGUCAAACCUCGGUG
This 779-nucleotide ribosomal RNA is filed under the name bacterium enrichment culture. RNAcentral's name for it is "bacterial SSU rRNA". It matches the Rfam family "Bacterial small subunit ribosomal RNA", at positions 61 to 845 of the family's 1533-position model. The record is from RNAcentral.